Long non-coding RNA from Sorghum bicolor (sorghum), 960 nucleotides. RefSeq lists it as uncharacterized. Lineage: Eukaryota; Viridiplantae; Streptophyta; Magnoliopsida; Poales; Poaceae. The transcript is spliced from 4 exons. The record is from RefSeq and is a predicted model, not a curated record.
AGACGCAUCUUCCCCAUAAGCCACCCCUUCCCAGCACCGCUCGUCCUCCGUCCCGAUUCCGUCGCGCCGCCCGCCUCGUGCGGUCUCCCACAAAGGCCGAAUGCCCCCUGCCGGAUUUGGGGCUUGUGCCGCCGCUGGGUGGCUGGCCCAACGAGCAUCGCGCAAUGGCGACGGCUGGUGAGCCACCUCCCAGAUCUACAUCAAGGAGUAGGCGGUGGUGGCAGUCGUAUUCGCAACCAGACCCUGGUAGCAGCAUUCGCGGAGCUAGGAGGAGGUGGCGGCUCCAUUGCUGGUUGACCGUGCAGCCCAGCAGAGUGUUGAAAUCGAGCCCAGCUACGCACAGUCCUAUGCUGAGAGCUCCACACUUGCUGAGCUCUAAGGAUCCAGCUGCCAAGGCCCUGCACACGUGCAGACCGAAGCUCGCUCUGUUGCUCAUAUGGAAAAAAGCAGGUACUUCCCUCUAAGUCUCUAAUCGUGUGUGACGGCUCACUCUGUUGCCCAAUGGAAAAAGGAAGUAAAGAUGCAACUCAGAUGGCCACCUCUGUCCUAACUCCUGAAAAUGAUAGUAUUUAUUGAUGAAAUAUUGAAUAUGUAGUUGUUUGUUCAUCCUUUUUUGGCGUGAGAUCACAAGGCUCUGAAGCUUGAAACUAUUUUGCAAUUUCGAACAACCAAAAAGGCUUUGGUGUCCCUACUGGUUAUAAGGUGAUGCUAUCGUCCUUCAGAUUCAGUUAAAUUAUUAUCAGAUGAAGCUCUGGACUAGUCAUCAGUGGACCAACUUGGAAGUUGUGGACAACACAUGUUAGUUUGUUUUUGUUCAUCAGUUAUAUAUGUUGAGACAAGGAUAGCUUGAUGUUAAGUGACAUGAUUAAAUAUGUACUCCAGUUUGAUAAAUGAAUGAGUAUGGUUAAUGUGAUCACUUGUGUAUGACGUCCUAAAUCUGUGUAAAUAUUGCAUUGGUCU